This 497-nucleotide ribosomal RNA is filed under the name uncultured bacterium. RNAcentral describes it as "partial 16S ribosomal RNA". It matches the Rfam family "Bacterial small subunit ribosomal RNA", at positions 28 to 507 of the family's 1533-position model. The record is from RNAcentral.
GAUGAACGCUGGCGGCGUGCCUAAUACAUGCAAGUCGAGCGAACGGACGAGAAGCUUGCUUCUCUGAUGUUAGCGGCGGACGGGUGAGUAACACGUGGAUAACCUACCUAUAAGACUGGGAUAACUUCGGGAAACCGGAGCUAAUACCGGAUAAUAUUUUGAACCGCAUGGUUCAAAAGUGAAAGACGGUCUUGCUGUCACUUAUAGAUGGAUCCGCGCUGCAUUAGCUAGUUGGUAAGGUAACGGCUUACCAAGGCAACGAUGCAUAGCCGACCUGAGAGGGUGAUCGGCCACACUGGAGCUGAGACACGGUCCAGACUCCUACGGGAGGCAGCAGUAGGGAAUCUUCCGCAAUGGGCGAAAGCCUGACGGAGCAACGCCGCGUGAGUGAUGAAGGUCUUCGGAUCGUAAAACUCUGUUAUUAGGGAAGAACAUAUGUGUAAGUAGCUGUGCACAUCUUGACGGUACCUAAUCAGAAAGCCACGGCUAACUACGUG